UGGGGAAUCUUGCGCAAUGGGCGAAAGCCUGACGCAGCCAUGCCGCGUGAAUGAUGAAGGUCUUAGGAUUGUAAAAUUCUUUCACCGGGGACGAUAAUGACGGUACCCGGAGAAGAAGCCCCGGCUAACUUCGUGCCAGCAGCCGCGGUAAUACGAAGGGGGCUAGCGUUGCUCGGAAUUACUGGGCGUAAAGGGAGCGUAGGCGGACUGUUAAGUUAGAGGUGAAAGCCCAGGGCUCAACCUUGGAAUUGCCUUUGAUACUGGCAGUCUUGAGUACGGAAGAGGUAUGUGGAACUCCGAGUGUAGAGGUGAAAUUCGUAGAUAUUCGGAAGAACACCAGUGGCGAAGGCGACAUACUGGUCCGUUACUGACGCUGAGGCUCGAAAUCGUGGGGAGCAAACA
RNAcentral lists this ribosomal RNA (402 nucleotides) under uncultured bacterium. RNAcentral's name for it is "partial 16S ribosomal RNA". It matches the Rfam family "Bacterial small subunit ribosomal RNA", at positions 355 to 774 of the family's 1533-position model. The record is from RNAcentral.